Scophthalmus maximus (turbot) is the source of this 972-nucleotide long non-coding RNA. RefSeq lists it as uncharacterized. Lineage: Eukaryota; Metazoa; Chordata; Actinopteri; Pleuronectiformes; Scophthalmidae. The transcript is spliced from 3 exons. The record is from RefSeq and is a predicted model, not a curated record.
AAAAAAACCCAAAGCAGACUGAACAGCGGGGACACUGUACUGACAUUGGCUGCAGCCUGGCGCAGGAAGUACUGAUGACAGAGACCACGGCAGACAGGACCACCUCCUCCACCAGAGGACUACGACGACCAGAGGACCCCUCACCUGCCAAACAUGAACCAUGCAGCUUGGAGCGCCAGCGAAAUCAGGCGGGGGAUGACGACUUCGUGGAAGCACCGGCCCAUCUCCUCCGUGUCCUGGACCUGCUCCGCUAUCCUCCGGAGGCUGUGACACGCCGACACCACCUCCUCCACGGAGAAAGCCGCGCUUCCUGAAAACAACAAGGCAUUUCUGUGUCAUUCAUGUAAAGUUUAAUUUUUGGUCCUGUCUAAAUUUCUUGAGUCUCUUGGGACAAAUGACCUGCGUGCACCGAGCCGAGGACCUCCAGGAGGACAGGUGUGCUCUCCCGGACAACGCCGGGUCUGGUGGACACCGCGGCCAGAGCAGACAAACACCGCUGACGCAUUGCAUGAUGGGAAGGCUGCCCAGACGCUGCUCUGUUGUCACCUUCAUCCAUGGGCUCUGAGCAGAGGAGAGAGGAGAGGAGAGGAAGAGGAAAAGGCUUUUCACUCACCAGAAAACAUCUCCUUCUUCAGUCUUGGGAUCAGUUUGGUGAUAAAGACAGUUGGGUGCAGCUCUGCUAACGCUCCGGCACAAUCGACCACAGCAAGACUGGAGACACAGAGGGAUGAAAUUUAAUGUUUGGUUCAACUGAAACUUCAGGAUUCAGAUUUUCUAAAAAAAAGUAGAUAGAAAGCUAACACCAAUUGUUCUAUUUUAGUUGGUUGUAGCUGUUAAGCUAUACUGUAUGUUGGUAUCCAACAUGAAAAAAAAAAGUGUGGUUUUGUGUGUGUAUGUGUGUUUAACGAGAUAACGGAAUUGAAUGGAUGACAGAGAAGAGGAAGAGAGCUGACCUGACUCUGUCAUCCUCCU